RNAcentral lists this ribosomal RNA (505 nucleotides) under Candida tropicalis. Its description in RNAcentral is "eukaryotic LSU rRNA". The stretch from base 145 to 298 matches the Rfam family "5.8S ribosomal RNA". The record is from RNAcentral. Lineage: Eukaryota; Fungi; Ascomycota; Pichiomycetes; Serinales; Debaryomycetaceae.
GGGGUAACGGAUUGCUUAUUGCACCACAUGUGUUUUUUAUUGAACAAAUUUCUUUGGUGGCGGGAGCAAUCCUACCGCCAGAGGUUAUAACUAAACCAAACUUUUUAUUUACAGUCAAACUUGAUUUAUUAUUACAAUAGUCAAAACUUUCAACAACGGAUCUCUUGGUUCUCGCAUCGAUGAAGAACGCAGCGAAAUGCGAUACGUAAUAUGAAUUGCAGAUAUUCGUGAAUCAUCGAAUCUUUGAACGCACAUUGCGCCCUUUGGUAUUCCAAAGGGCAUGCCUGUUUGAGCGUCAUUUCUCCCUCAAACCCCCGGGUUUGGUGUUGAGCAAUACGCUAGGUUUGUUUGAAAGAAUUUAACGUGAAAACUUAUUUUAAGCGACUUAGGUUUAUCCAAAAACGCUUAUUUUGCUAGUGGCCACCACAUUUUAUUUCAUAACUUUGACCUCAAAUCGGGUAGGACUACCCGCUGAACUUAAGCAUAUCAAUACGCGGAAGAAAAA